UAGAGGGCAGUAAUGCUUUAGAUUUUAUUUGAAAGGAGCGGAAAAUCAUUUAGCACUGGACUGUUUGUGAGAAGCUGCACCUAUCGAAUAGAUUUUAUCAUUUUAUUAAAUCAUCCUCAAACAAAUGUUAGACUGAUGGAAAUAUUUGGAAAUCAAGGAUCUCCCUUUCACGGAGCUGAUGCUCCACAGCUGCAUGUUUGUAAGGAGGAGGAAGAAAGGAAUUACAAUUGUGUUCAAGAGGAACAAGAAUCUCCACAGAUUAAAGAGGAAGAGGAGGAACUCUGCUGCAGCCAGGAGGAAAAGCAGCUGUUAUUGAAGCAGGAGGUCAAAUCUGAGUGUGAGGAAAUAUUUGUAAUCCAGUUUGAAGGUGAGCUUGAUGUUUUUUUAAUACUAUAUAAAAAGCAAUAUUACAGUAGUGGUUGUCAUAACUGGAAUGAUAUCUUUGUAGAACUCUUUUGUACCUCCAAGAUUUGAAAUCGGCCAAUUAGGGAACAGAGUAAUUACAUCUAAUGUUUCAGUUGUUUUCAUUAAUUUCCUCCUAAAUCUUUGUUCCUUCAGAUCUCUCAGAGAAACAUAUUUGUAAGGAGGAGACUGAAUCUGAGCAGCUUCUCUGGAAGCAGGAGAGAAGCUCCAGUCCAAAUGAGGAGGAACCAGAGCUUCCACAGAUCAAAGAGGAGCGGGAGGAGGUCUGCAUCAUUAAGGAAGAAGAGCAACUUGAACUGAAGCAGGAGACGGAUGCUCUUAUAGUCACUGAACAUGAUCAGGAAAAGAUGAGCUCCAAACCAGAACCAAGUGAGAGUCCAGAUCUGGACGAAAACAGUGAUUCUGUGACUGUCCAGCUGGACCCUCCUUCACCUAAGAGCUUACAUUCCUGUGAAACAUGUGGAAAAGUUUUUAGCCGACGUUGUAGUUUACUCAUUCACAUGAGAAUACACACAGGUGAGAGGCCUUACUCAUGUGAAAUAUGUGGAAGGAGCUACAUUCAAAGAAGUGAUCUGACUAUUCACAUGAGGAAACACACAGGUGAGAGGCCUUUUACCUGUGAACUGUGUGGAAAAGGUUUUUCUCAAAAUAGUUCUCUGACUAU
RNAcentral lists this long non-coding RNA (1087 nucleotides) under Oryzias javanicus (javanese ricefish). RNAcentral describes it as "lncRNA (ENSOJAG00000008716.1)". Lineage: Eukaryota; Metazoa; Chordata; Actinopteri; Beloniformes; Adrianichthyidae. The record is from RNAcentral.